RNAcentral lists this long non-coding RNA (594 nucleotides) under Rosa chinensis. Its description in RNAcentral is "sRNA RchiOBHm_Chr6g0290681". Lineage: Eukaryota; Viridiplantae; Streptophyta; Magnoliopsida; Rosales; Rosaceae. The record is from RNAcentral.
UUCAAUCUGGGCUUGUGGUCGUGGAUUGGAGCAGUGGUGAUUUUGAGGGGAAGGUUUUGACCUUCUGAUUUCCAGGUCGGGGGUCAGGGUUUUCCCUCGAGUCUUGAAGAUGGUGGAGGACAGCGGCUGCCACCAGAUCGGUGAAGGGUCGAUGUCUUUCUGGUAGGUCAUUUUCACGUCAAUUUGGAGGGAGAGGAAAUGACGGUGGGUCUGCUUCGAUCUGAAAUGGCUUCCAUGACGGUGAUGAGAUCUGGCCGGGACUGGCAAUGGUGGCGCUGAAUUCGGUAGGGUCUGCGCUCCGGGUUUCUCGGCUGGAAACCCUAGGGUUUGGGCUGAGCCGUGGGUUGUAGGUUAAUGGGCCGUUGGGCCUGGAUUGAUCUGCUGGGAGGUAGCUGAGUUUUUUUUUUUUUUUUUUCUUUUUUCUGCUUCUCUCACCUUGAUCUCCCUCGGCUGAAGCUGUUUGCUGGUUGAUGAGUGGCGAUGUACACCAAAAGGGUCUUAGGCGUCAACGCUUGUCAAGUCAACGGCUUUGAUUUAGGGUUUGAUAGAUUGGUUUGUUUACUUUAUUUGUUGGCUCUGCCAUAUGCAAUGUGA